Molecule: ribosomal RNA, 122 nt
Filed under: Phaseolus vulgaris (common bean)
Lineage: Eukaryota; Viridiplantae; Streptophyta; Magnoliopsida; Fabales; Fabaceae
Source: RNAcentral
AGGUGCGAUCAUACCAGCACUAAUGCACCGGAUCCCAUCAGAACUCCGCAGUUAAGCGUGCUUGGGCGAGAGUACUACUAGGACGGGUGACCUCCUGCGAAGUCCUCGUGUUGCACUUCUUU